This is a long non-coding RNA of Photinus pyralis (common eastern firefly), 521 nucleotides long. RefSeq lists it as uncharacterized. Lineage: Eukaryota; Metazoa; Arthropoda; Insecta; Coleoptera; Lampyridae. The record is from RefSeq and is a predicted model, not a curated record. The transcript has 2 exons.
GUUUGACUCACCCUUUGUUUCAUCCACAUUACUCUCAAGGCAUCUUCCCCAGUGUUCAAUAAAUACUCGUAAUGUGCCAUUAGCAUAACAAUCACCCCCUGAAAUGUUUUGCCAAGCUAAUACUACAAACAAAAUUUGUUUUGAAUUUUUAUUUUUGUCAGUGAUACACGAUUCUAGUAUGGAGUUGGAUAAGAUUAAACCUCUUGAAAGCGAUAUAAAGGCCCUUGUUGAGCAAACGUUCCAGUAUCGACACUGACCACAAUGAGAUUACUCCUACUAUUUGUUAUUUUGGGCCUUUUUGCAGCAUCCGUUAUGGCUGCUUGUCCCGAACAUCCGGCUAAGGACCCAAAAUGUAGAUGUGAAGAGCCUGGAACUUCAGAUCGACCUUCCUGUGGAUCGUGCAGGACAAAGAAGAUCCGGGUGGGAAUCAUACACUGCAGUGAUUAAUCAGGGAAAAGUUGCUGAAUCGAAACUUAAAAAUUGGUUACAAUAAUACAUUGAAAAUAAACGUAUGAAGAUUA